AUGGUCGUGGCCUUGCGGUAUGUUGAUAGUUCCGGAGAUUCUAAAGAAAGCUUUGUUGGUCUUGUUCAUGUGAAAGAAACAACUUCCUCGUACCUCAAUAGUUCAAUUGAUUCUCUUUUUGCAAAAUAUAAGCUGAGCUACAAUCAAGUUAGAGGACAAGGGUACGAUGGUGCCAGCAACAUGCGAGCUGUUGUAAGAAAGCAUAAAGGAAUUAGUAAUUUCUUCGGUAUGAUUUCUACCUUGUUAAAUGUUGUGGGUGGUUCUUCCAAGAGAAGAGACAUGAUUAGAGAUAUAAAUCUUGAAGAAGUGAGCAAGGCUUUAGGGUGUGGGCAGCUUACAACAAGAACAGGUCAGAAUCAAGAGCAGUGUCUUCAAAGACCCGGAGACACUCGUUGGGGUUCACAUGCUAAAACACUUAAGAGUUUGGUUGCCAUGUUCAGGUCAGUUAUUAAAGUUCUUGAAUUUAUUGAAGAAGAAGACACUGAUAGAACAAAUAGAGACCAAGCAAUCGGUCUUCUAGUGUACUUUCAAUCUUUUGACUUUGUCUUCUACUUGCAUCUCAUGUUGACAAUACUCAGUACUACCAACACAUUGUCAUUAGCAUUGCAGCGGAAGGAU
RNAcentral lists this ribosomal RNA (618 nucleotides) under Triticum aestivum (bread wheat). Its description in RNAcentral is "partial small subunit ribosomal RNA". The record is from RNAcentral. Lineage: Eukaryota; Viridiplantae; Streptophyta; Magnoliopsida; Poales; Poaceae.